AGAACGACCUUCCAGGCCUCUGGGAUGAGCGUGUCCCCAGAAUCUGCUCCGUUCAGCUUCAUCCAGGCCUUUGCCUCUGAAGGUGCUCACAGGUGAUGACUGAGUGGCUGGGGCAGGCACCCAUGUCGGGAUGGGAUGUCGCACCCGUGGACUCCAGGGGCCAGGAAGAGGAUCCUUCAGCGACCUGCCCGGGAGCCUGGAAGCUUCCACAGGGCAGGAGGGUGUGUUCUGCAAACUGUACCGUGCAACUGUGAGGGCAGCUACUGCCUGGCCCCCCGAAGGCCCCGAGGCUCCCGUGCUCCCCUUGCUCCGUCCAUAUCUUCCUGGCUUCCCUCCCACAGGCUCAAGGGCAAGAGUGUGCACCAUGUGGACACCAUGUCCACCCACUGGCCGUGGGUGCUCCGGCGUCUGGGGAGCGUCUCGGGUGCUCCGGGAGCCAUCACUCUCCAGUUUUCUCUGCAAAGGUUCAUGAUGAUGUGGCUGAGCUUAGAAAGAGACUUUCUUUUAUCUGCCCAAAAUGCUUGGACGUUUUCUGUCCCCUUCACUUCACUCCUGGAAAAGACAAGGCUCAGGACAAUCUGUGGGUGUCUCUCUUCUUCUGAAGCCAAGAGCCACUUUUGGGUUUUUUUGUUUGUUUGGAUGGAGUUUCGUUUUGUUGCCCAGGCUGGAGUGCAGUGGCGUGAUCUCGGCUCACUGCAACCUCCACCUCCCGGGUUCAAGCAAUUCUUCUGCCUCAGCCUCCUGAGUAGCUGGGAUUACAGGCAUGUGAGACCACGCCCGGCUAAUUUUUGUAUUUGUUUGUAGAGAUGAGGUCUCCCUAUGUUGCCCAGGCUGGUCUAGAACUUCUGAUCUCAAGCAGUCUGCCCGCCUCGGCCUCCUAAAGUGCUAGGAUUAUAGGUGUGAGCCAUCACGCCAGGUCAAGAGCCACUUUCUAAAGUAACCUUUGGACAUGCUGCCCCCCCUACCCAGGCCCUGGGUCCCCUCCCAGCUCCUGGGGCUCCUCCACCUUACAGGGCUCUCCUGAGGAGGCCUGGCCCACCCACCCCACUCCCUGCAUGGAUGGGCAGAGGCUCUCUCCCUGCCCACUCUGGGCCUUGCUGACACUGGGCCUUGCCUCCGUGUCCCAGGUGAGCCUGGCCUCUCUCUCCUGCUUUCAGAAUCACACACUAGCAGGUCCCAAGCUAGCAGCACAGAGCUCUUCCUUCUGCCUCAACACCACCCACCCUUCUCAGCAGAAGACCCAGCACAUCCUGCCCCUGCUCCUCCCACCGGGCUCCAGAGAGAGCUGCCCCAUGAUCCAUGCACACACCAGUGCCCAGGGUUCCACACCGCCAGGCGACAGCACGCUGGGUGCGGUGUCUGCUUGCUGUGCCUCCUGCCUCAGGACCUGGGCCCCCCAGACACCCAACUGCUCCCUCCCGGAGGCUUGGAAGCCAGCAAAGGAAGGGAUAACCAUCAUUUAUUCAUCCAUCCAUCCAUCUAUCCAAUCCAUCCAUUGUAUCCAUCCAUCCAUCCACCCACCCAUUCACCCAUCUGUCCAUCCAUCCACCCAUCCAUCCAUCCAUCCACCCAUCCAUCCACCCAUCCACCCACCCAUUCACCCACCCAUUCACCCAACCAUCCAUCCAUCCAUCCACCCACCCACCCAUUCAACCAUCCAUCCAUCCAUCUUUCCAUCCAUCUAUGUAUAUUUAUGUAUUUUAAGGAAUUUCCUCAUGCAAUUGUGGAGUCUGAAAUCUGCAAGGGAGGUGGCAGCCUGGAGACCUAAGGAGAGCUGCAGUUGGAGUCCCAGGGCCUCUGCUAGCAGAAUUCCUUCUUGCUUGGGGAGGUCCAUCUUGGUUUUCUUAAGACCUUCAACUGAUUGAAUGAGGCCCACCUGCAUUUUGGAGAGCCACCUGCUUCCCCAAAGUCCACUGAUUGAAAUGUUACUCUCAGCCAAAAAGCACCCUCCCAGAAACAUGAGAACCAGAAUUAGUGCUUGACCAAAUAUCUGGGCACCGUGGCCCAGCCAAGUUGACACAAUUACCCAUCACAAUGCUGGUGCCAGGGAAGGGAAGGAAAAGCUCUUCCCUGUGAGCUGGUGACCUGGGGUCCUGGGCUGGGAUAGCGCAACAGGAAGUAAAUGUCCCUCUCCAGAGACAGCCCCUCCUGUGUCUACAGAUGUCCUGAUGUAACAUGUCUUUUAAAAUGAGGGUUUGUUCAUGAAAUUCUUUUCUUAACCAAUAAAAUGGAUUAAAUAG
RNAcentral lists this long non-coding RNA (2240 nucleotides) under Pan troglodytes (chimpanzee). RNAcentral describes it as "lincRNA". Lineage: Eukaryota; Metazoa; Chordata; Mammalia; Primates; Hominidae. The record is from RNAcentral.